UACAGAACGGUUGGCAACCCUAGUCCCCAUAAUGAGUCCCCAUGAGUCUGUGUGUAUUCAGGUUUAAUUCCCCACCAGGAUAUUUAAACCCGUACACACACACAUUCUCCUUUCACAUACAUUUGUUUCUACUUGUAAUAUAUAUAUAUAUACAGUAGGUAGACAACCAGAAUGGGUAAUACCGCUGUGCCGCGGCGUUAACUGCAAGUCAGUCACGUGUUAAAAUCAGGGCCGGCGAUUGCUAUAGGCGAACUAGGCGGUUGCCUAGGGUGACAAAUAUGUUGGGGGCGCGGGCGCCCUCUAGGGUCGCCGUUAUGUUACGUUACGUUAGGCAAGUGCGCAGUUGAUGAAGAAAAUGAAGCGCUCUAAUAAACCCUCCGGUGCACAGGGACGAAAACGGAGAAAGGAAGAAGAUAAAAGGAAAACCCAGUAUAGAGAUGCACUCAGGAAAUUUUUGCAGAGGCCGUAAUAUAUAAUGUGAUGUGAUUAUAUAUAACUUUUAUAAUCACAUCACAUUAAUACUACUUAUUGUAAUCAGUAGUAUUAUUUAGCCUUGUAGCAGCCUAAUAGAUUAGUAAUAAUAGUAGUGGUGGUAGAACUUGUAAUUUAUCUACUACAAGUUACAUGGUCAGAGAUAAAAUGUAUUUGUACAAUGCAACUAUGUGGUAGGAUGAUAGAAAUGACCAAUGCAAUUGUGUAACAAACAGCAUGGAUGUGUUUAAAUACAUACAGCUGCAGGAGUAGGGACAUCCAGUAGUGGUACUCCAGGGACCAGUGACACACAGGCCAGGAACACACAGCCUGCAUCAAGUGAGUCUAUUUAAUAGUAUUUAUUCAAGCCACAUCCAUACUUUAAAGAACAACAGAAAAAGGUUAGCAUGUAUUAAAAUACAAUAGCUUGUUUUCUUAAAGAAGUUCAACCACAUUCAUCAUUUCACUCACUGCUUGUCUGGCUAUACAAUAUGCUUGUAUACAGGUGAAGGUGAAGGGACACCCAGGACCACAUCAAGCACUCAGGGCACCAGUGAAAGACAGACGACUGAGACCAGGGACACGCAGCCUGAAUGAAGUUAGCCCUUUGAAUAGCUAAUUCAAGCUUACAACCAUCUGACAAUAUGUACUAGAAGAUAAUGAAAACACAUGGAAAUCACAAUAACAUCCCAUCCCUAUGAAUUUAAUUUCAAUCACAGUUUUAGUAAUUUUCACUAAUUUAAUUUAACACCACUGAUCUGGCUGUUGCAGGUGAAGGGGCCACAUUUAGCAUUCCAGGCCCCAGUGAAACACAGACCACUGAGACCAGGGAUACUCAGCCUGAAGCAAGUAAGACCCUUGAAUACCGUUUAUUCAACCACUAUUUAAAACUUCAGUGACUUGUCUCCAAGUAAACAUUGACAUUCCUCAUUAAUUAAUUUCAAACACUACUGGUCUAUUAUACUCUAUAUGCUGGUCUAUACUAUAUCUUCUUUCUU
This is a long non-coding RNA of Cyprinus carpio (common carp), 1469 nucleotides long. Lineage: Eukaryota; Metazoa; Chordata; Actinopteri; Cypriniformes; Cyprinidae. The record is from Ensembl.